RNAcentral lists this ribosomal RNA (115 nucleotides) under Nanobdellota archaeon. Lineage: Archaea; Nanobdellati; Nanobdellota. The record is from RNAcentral.
GAAGACGGCCAUAAUAGGUUGGAAAUACCUGUUACCAUUCCGAACACAGAAGUUAAGCUUCCUAUGCUGUUUGUUUUAGUGGCCGAUAAGCUGCGAAGCAUCAGUGCUGUCUUCU